RNAcentral lists this long non-coding RNA (348 nucleotides) under Anas platyrhynchos platyrhynchos (common mallard). Its description in RNAcentral is "lncRNA (ENSAPLG00000022260.1)". The record is from RNAcentral. Lineage: Eukaryota; Metazoa; Chordata; Aves; Anseriformes; Anatidae.
AACAAUCAUCCUGCUGAACUACAGCCAGCAAAGUAUGCCUAUAAAACUCUCUGCUCUUCAGCAGAAUGACUGAAAAAAUGAAUAAUUUCAUUCAAAAAUGAUUAUACUUAUUUUCAACAAAUAAGUUGCAUGAGGGAAGAUUUCUGCUGCCCUUUGAUAGUGCCAGAAUAUCUUUACACACGGAGCCAUCAGAUUCAGAAGACAGUAAAUGAAGUGCCUUUCUUUCAUGAAGACACAAAACCCCACUGCUUCUUUCAUAAAUCACAUUCAGAAGGGACAUACGUACAUGCCUUAAAGUCUGAAAUUACAGUUUUAGUGAGUAACCUGAAGUUCUUUUUCAAAUCAUGA